This 483-nucleotide ribosomal RNA is filed under the name uncultured bacterium. RNAcentral describes it as "partial 16S ribosomal RNA". It matches the Rfam family "Bacterial small subunit ribosomal RNA", at positions 30 to 506 of the family's 1533-position model. The record is from RNAcentral.
AUUGAACGCUGGCGGCAGGCCUAACACAUGCAAGUCGAGCGGAUGAAGGGAGCUUGCUCCUGGAUUCAGCGGCGGACGGGUGAGUAAUGCCUAGGAAUCUGCCUGGUAGUGGGGGAUAACGUCCGGAAACGGGCGCUAAUACCGCAUACGUCCUGAGGGAGAAAGUGGGGGAUCUUCGGACCUCACGCUAUCAGAUGAGCCUAGGUCGGAUUAGCUAGUUGGUGGGGUAACGGCCUACCAAGGCGACGAUCCGUAACUGGUCUGAGAGGAUGAUCAGUCACACUGGACCUGAGACCCGUCCCAGACUCCUACGGGGGGCAGCAGUGGGGAAUAUUGGCCAUUGGGCGAAAGCCUGAUCCAGCCAUGCCGCGUGUGUGAAGAAGGUCUUCGGUUUGUAAAGCACUUUAAGUUGGGAGGAAGGGCAGUAAGUUAAUACCUUGCUGUUUUGACGUUCCCAACAGAAUAAGCACCGGCUAACUUCGU